This 449-nucleotide ribosomal RNA is filed under the name uncultured bacterium. Its description in RNAcentral is "partial 16S ribosomal RNA". It matches the Rfam family "Bacterial small subunit ribosomal RNA", at positions 29 to 523 of the family's 1533-position model. The record is from RNAcentral.
AACGAACGCUGGCGGCAUGCCUAACACAUGCAAGUCGAACGAGACCUUCGGGUCUAGUGGCGCACGGGUGCGUAACGCGUGGGAAUCUGCCCUUGGGUUCGGGAUAACAGUUGGAAACGACUGCUAAUACCGGAUGAUGACUUCGGUCCAAAGAUUUAUCGCCCAGGGAUGAGCCCGCGUAGGAUUAGCUAGUUGGUGAGGUAAAGGCUCACCAAGGCGACGAUCCUUAGCUGGUCUGAGAGGAUGAUCAGCCACACUGGGACUGAGACACGGCCCAGACUCCUACGGGAGGCAGCAGUGGGGAAUAUUGGACAAUGGGCGAAAGCCUGAUCCAGCAAUGCCGCGUGAGUGAUGAAGGCCUUAGGGUUGUAAAGCUCUUUUACCCGGGAUGAUAAUGACAGUACCGGGAGAAUAAGCCCCGGCUAACUCCGUGCCAGCCGCCGCCGUAA